AGAGAUGUGUGAUGACGCAUAUCAAUAAGCGGAGGAAAAGAAACUAACAAGGAUUCCCCUAGUAACGGCGAGUGAAGCGGGAAGAGCUCAAAUUUGAAGUCUUAAAGGGUUUCCCUUUACGAAUUGUAGUUUAAAGAAGUGUUUUCUGUUGGGGUUUCGGUAAAAGUUCUUUGGAAUAGGACAUCAUAGAGGGUGAGAAUCCCGUAUUUGACCGUUACUUUCCAGCUGUGUGAUACACUUUCAAAGAGUCGGAUUGUUUGGGAAUGCAGUCCAAAAUGGGUGGUAAAUUUCAUCUAAAGCUAAAUAUUGGCGAGAGACCGAUAGCGAACAAGUACCGUGAGGGAAAGAUGAAAAGAACUUUGAAAAGAGAGUUAAACAGUACGUGAAAUUGUCAAAAGGGAAGCGUUUGACACCAGUGUUGUUUUCUCGAAAAUCAAUUAAAAAUGGUGGGAUGUUGUGUUGUUAUUGACUUUAUCAGCUUUCUGCACUUUUUUUCCUAUCUUUUUUAAUGCACUUUUCGUUUAACAAGUCAACAUCAAUUUCUUUUGUUGUAAAAGAGUCAUUGGAAGGUGGCUUUCUUUUCGGAGAAAGUGUUUAUAGCCUUGUAACCUCUGCAAUCGGAGAGAUUGAGGUCUGCAGCGUAGAUCCUUCGGGGUUAGAUACAUUUGUGCUAAGUUAUAGUCUUUUCAUAGACAACUUGUUGACUAUGAUUAGAUCUUGUAGCUUACUCGCUUAUGCUAUUUUACCUACGCUUAGGAUGUUGAAGAUGUAGCACAUCAU
Molecule: ribosomal RNA, 780 nt
Filed under: uncultured Neocallimastigales
Lineage: Eukaryota; Fungi; Neocallimastigomycota; Neocallimastigomycetes; Neocallimastigales
Description: partial large subunit ribosomal RNA
Rfam family: Eukaryotic large subunit ribosomal RNA
Source: RNAcentral